Molecule: non-coding RNA, 106 nt
Organism: Triangularia verruculosa
Lineage: Eukaryota; Fungi; Ascomycota; Sordariomycetes; Sordariales; Podosporaceae
Source: the annotation of a GenBank genome assembly
GGGCGUGUGGCUCAGUUGGUAGAGCGUUCGCUUAGCAUCUUGACUUGAUCAUAGUAUCAAAUAUCUCGUAUGCGAAAGGUCCUGGGUUCGAUUCCCAGCUCGUCCA